UUAGGUCGGGAACUCAAAGGAGACUGCCAGUGAUAAACUGGAGGAAGGUGGGGAUGACGUCAAGUCAUCAUGGCCCUUACGAGUAGGGCUACACACGUGCUACAAUGGCAUAUACAAAGAGAAGCGACCUCGCGAGAGCAAGCGGACCUCAUAAAGUAUGUCGUAGUCCGGAUUGGAGUCUGCAACUCGACUCCAUGAAGUCGGAAUCGCUAGUAAUCGUGGAUCAGAAUGCCACGGUGAAUACGUUCCCGGGCCUUGUACACACCGCCCGUCACACCAUGGGAGUGGGUUGCAAAAGAAGUAGGUAGCUUAACCUUCGGGAGGGCGCUUACCACUUUGUGAUUCAUGACUGGGGUGAAGUCGUAACAAGGUAACCGUAGGGGAACCUGCGGUUGGAUC
RNAcentral lists this ribosomal RNA (399 nucleotides) under Klebsiella oxytoca. Its description in RNAcentral is "bacterial SSU rRNA". It matches the Rfam family "Bacterial small subunit ribosomal RNA", at positions 1126 to 1524 of the family's 1533-position model. Lineage: Bacteria; Pseudomonadati; Pseudomonadota; Gammaproteobacteria; Enterobacterales; Enterobacteriaceae. The record is from RNAcentral.